RNAcentral lists this ribosomal RNA (508 nucleotides) under Cronobacter sp. A37tronco2. Its description in RNAcentral is "bacterial SSU rRNA". It matches the Rfam family "Bacterial small subunit ribosomal RNA", at positions 56 to 555 of the family's 1533-position model. The record is from RNAcentral. Lineage: Bacteria; Pseudomonadati; Pseudomonadota; Gammaproteobacteria; Enterobacterales; Enterobacteriaceae.
UGCAAGUCGGGCGGUAACACAGGGAGCUUGCUCCUGGGUGACGAGCGGCGGACGGGUGAGUAAUGUCUGGGAAACUGCCUGAUGGAGGGGGAUAACUACUGGAAACGGUAGCUAAUACCGCAUAACGUCUUCGGACCAAAGUGGGGGACCUUCGGGCCUCAUGCCAUCAGAUGUGCCCAGAUGGGAUUAGCUAGUAGGUGGGGUAAUGGCUCACCUAGGCGACGAUCCCUAGCUGGUCUGAGAGGAUGACCAGCCACACUGGAACUGAGACACGGUCCAGACUCCUACGGGAGGCAGCAGUGGGGAAUAUUGCACAAUGGGCGCAAGCCUGAUGCAGCCAUGCCGCGUGUAUGAAGAAGGCCUUCGGGUUGUAAAGUACUUUCAGCGAGGAGGAAGGCAUUAAGGUUAAUAACCUUGGUGAUUGACGUUACUCGCAGAAGAAGCACCGGCUAACUCCGUGCCAGCAGCCGCGGUAAUACGGAGGGUGCAAGCGUUAAUCGGAAUUACU